GGACCCGCACAAGUAGUGGAGCAUGUGGUUUAAUUCGAAGAUACGCGCAGAACCUUACCAACACUUGACAUGUUCGUCGCGGCUCUAAGAGAUUAGAGCUUUCGGUUCGGCCGGACGAAACACAGGUGCUGCAUGGCUGUCGUCAGCUCGUGUCGUGAGAUGUUGGGUUAAGUCCCGCAACGAGCGCAACCCUCACUUUUAGUUGCCAUCAUUUAGUUGGGCACUCUGAAAGAACUGCCAGUGAUAAGCUGGAGGAAGGUGGGGAUGACGUCAAGUCCUCAUGGCCCUUACGUGUUGGGCUACACACGUGCUACAAUGGCAUUUACAACAGGAAGCAAGACGGCGACGUUAAGCAAAUCCUUAAAAGAUACCUCAGUUCGGAUUGCACUCUGCAACUCGAGUGCAUGAAGCUGGAAUUACUAGUAAUCG
Molecule: ribosomal RNA, 429 nt
Filed under: uncultured bacterium
Lineage: Bacteria
Description: bacterial SSU rRNA
Rfam family: Bacterial small subunit ribosomal RNA
Source: RNAcentral